CUAGUUGUUGAAUCUCACUGAAAGUGCCUUAAUUUAUAUGUUUGUUACUGAAUUGAAUGCUCGUAACGUAGCGUCUUGAUGAGCUGAUCUGAACGAAUCAUAUGCCAUGUGUGGUGAGUGUUUGUAUGUAGUCUAUGUAUGGUACUUGUGUCUAGAACUUGCCCGCUAUGUAAGUUGAAGAGAAAUCUUAGGUCAUGCUCGGUUUGAAAAAUGAUUUUAGGCUUUCUUUGACCUUUUUGAGCUUAAUUGCUGAUCACAAAUAAAAUUUGUCCCUAGUUAACCCUUUUGAACCUCUAGACUUUUGUUUGGCACCCGCAUUACAAGCCUAUACCUUUUUGUUCUUAAUUGACAUUGUUUUGAUACUUUUACCUCAUAAAGCACUUUAACUGUGAGGGGAGAGCUAAAAUAAGUAAGAAAGAAAUAAGUAUGGGGUGGCUUUUGAGUGGAAUCAAUGAAAGGAAGAAGGUGCACUUGUUUUGUAAACAAAUACACCACUAGCGGAAAUUGAGUGACAAGAAGAAUAAACUGAAAAAAGAGAUGAAUACAUAGGGUAAAACUUACUUUUG
Molecule: long non-coding RNA, 566 nt
Filed under: Nicotiana benthamiana
Lineage: Eukaryota; Viridiplantae; Streptophyta; Magnoliopsida; Solanales; Solanaceae
Description: long non-coding RNA (NBEN_LNC026178)
Source: RNAcentral